GCCACGUUGGCACCAAAUGGCUCCGUUUGUCUCCGUGCACGGGGGGAACAGCUGGGCACCGUGACAGCACUGCUCCCAGGCCUCAGAGAGGGGCCGUGGGCACGCUGUGCUGGGCUUUCUGGUAACGCUGCACCACGGGGAGGAAUCAGGUAAAAUCCCUGCAGCACAGCUGGACGGAGCCUGGGCCCUGCCUGAGGCAGCAUGACUGGGCCACAGUUUCCUUCCCAGGAGGUUGGUGUGAGGAGGAGAGAGUAAGGAUGCAGCCGUGGAUGGGUUCUGCAGUGUAUUUUACCUACGUGGCAGCGGGCAAUGCCAACCUCCUUGUAGGGCAUGAGCAGGCAGCAAGAGAGACCCAGACAGUGUUUAUGGAGUUGUUUUGCUCUUUUUGGCAUCGCAUAGCAGCACUUGGUUGUAUCCAAAGUUGACCCUGCAGAUGGUCUUAUAAAAUUAAAAAAUCAAACAAGAAUGAAGAAGGAAUGGCAGCUACUCCCUGUCCAGCAUUGCUGCUUGAAAGGGCCUGGGCUCUGCUCAGAAACCUGGAGUAGGGAUCUGCAGGUUGGCCAACAUACUUGGUACCUCCAUUUUGCAAGAUGCACAUGCAAAAAUAAUUUAUAAAAAAGGUUAUGCAGAAUGCUUCUUCUUGACACUCAUGUGCCAGGCACAAAAGCAAAGUUCCCUGGCUGCUUUCAUGGGUUGCCGCCAUGCUUUAAGUUCAGGCAGUGCUUUUUGUACAGUCCCUCCAUUGCAACCUUCCAUAACUCACUGGGAACAAAAGUACCAAAUAUCUUCUGAACAUUUCCAUUUUAAAUAUGACUGGUGUUAAAUAGAUGCAUGUGUGCUGCCUGCAAACUAGAAGUCAGUGAUAAAACAAAUGUAAUAGCAUGGAACCAAUGUGCUUACAGUCUUACUGUUUUCCUCUCCCCAGAAGCAAUGUGGCCCCCCGGACGAGGAAGAUGCGAUACAGCUAGCUGAAGCCCACCAGGUUCCCAGAGAACAACAACCCUAGGGGAAACUCAUGUAUAAUUUCUCAAUGACAAGCACUAAAGCCACACUGCUCAGUUCUUACUGGAGGUGGAAGACAAGUUUGCAUAAAACCUAGAGGAGAGCCUGUAUGGCUCAAUUUUAGAUCUGUGGCUAUAACCAGUAAACUUGUGGCUGGUCUUCCCUGGUUACCAGAGACUGAAGCACUCUAAAGAUCUUCUUAAGCUGCCAGCUGAGUUCUGCCGCCCAAAGGCAGCCGCAGGUUUCCUGUUUUUGGUAAAGAACACCUCAGGCUCUCCAAGCAGCUGCUUUGUCUUCCUGAGCCUCUGAAUGGAAAGAAAUGGCUCUGCAGAGAAGAAUGGCAGGAAUGCACAGAGUGGAUCAGCUGCAGGAGAACGGGGUGAGGCCGCAUGCAGUUUGUUAAGGGAGUAGUCAUCAUCCUAAAGUGUAUUUCUACCCGGCUGUUGCAAUGCUGUGCCUUGCCUUGCCCAAGAAGAAAAAAAAAUAGAGCAUCUGCAAUCUACCUGUCCCAAAACACUACAGCAUGGCUCACUGAUUGGAAUCACAGGCAGCCCCACAAAGCACAGCCGCGCCAUUCCUGCCUCUCCCCAGAAUGGCUCCGAUGUGCUCACAGUAACUCCCUUCUGCACAACUCCUGAGUUUUAAUAGCUUUCACUUUCAAGGAUCAUCUGCCAUCAAAUGUACCCACUCAGCUGCCAUUUUCCAAGCAAAAAAGCUCCCCACUCUGCAAGCACCUCCCAGGCUCACUAUGACAGGCUCAAGUAGCAUACAGGAUGGCUAGCAGGCAAACGCCACCUUGCUACUGUGGCCAGGGCAGUGCAUAAGGAGAAGCUAAGGAUGCACUGCUGAGCACAUACAUAAACCUCUUUCUCCUCAUAGAAGAUUAUUUGUCUUUUUUCUACAAGCCAUUCCUUUCUCCCUUUCAUAAGGAUCCAAGGGAGCAGCUCAGCCUGCAGAAGAAAGUGGAACUACUUGGGUUUUAUGAUGUUGGCCAGGACUUUGGGCAAGGUGCGAGACCCAUGGGAAAGAGGUAAAUGCAUUCCCAGUGGGUAACACCUUUCUGAUGUGAAGAAGCAAAAAUACAAGACCACCUAGAAGGGAGCAGCACACAUAUGCAAAACACAUGCAUAAAACUCAUCUAUUGGUCAGCCAAGGUUAUAAUCUCCCUUACAUUUAGCAUAGAGUGAGAAGGGAGAUGGUGUUCAACAGCAAUGGGUACAGCUCCAUCUGUGAACAAGCUCCUCCUUUUUACCUUCCCACGUUACCAGGACAGUUGACCAUUCUUUUCACUUUCUGCCCCAAACAAGUUGCCUCCAGCACCUCCUUCUGGUCCUGCAGAUUUGAAGGGGAGGGCUGGGAAAUAGUUCAGCUCUGAAGGAUGAUGAUGAAAUUGGACCUACUGCAUCAAAGCAGCCUUGCUAAGACUAUGGAGCAGGAACUGGUAAUAUUUGGAAAGUACUUCAGCCCCACUUCUCUCUGAAAAUAAGCCCCGCUUUCUCCUGGCAUUGGACAUUCCUCAUUUCUGGAGCCUUUGAAAGUGAGACCUGGACCCGCUUGUCCCUCCCCACCACAAGGAUGGAGAGACCCAGGGCUGGGAAUUCUUCCAGCCGGUGCUCUCUCUUAAACCCCAUUGAGUCCUAAAGGCUGGAAGUAACACAUCAAAUGGAUUAUCUCAAGGUUGUUGGUUUUUUUUUCUUUAGUAUGUAGAUUUUUUCCAUUAUCAGUAAGAAGCACUAAGAAGAAGCUCUUGUAAGGAGAG
Lagopus muta (rock ptarmigan) is the source of this 2761-nucleotide long non-coding RNA. RefSeq lists it as uncharacterized. Lineage: Eukaryota; Metazoa; Chordata; Aves; Galliformes; Phasianidae. The transcript has 3 exons. The record is from RefSeq and is a predicted model, not a curated record.